GACGAACGCUGGCGGCGUGCUUAACACAUGCAAGUCGUACGGUAAGGCCCUUUCGGGGGUACACGAGUGGCGAACGGGUGAGUAACACGUGAGUAACCUGCCCACAACUUUGGGAUAACGCUAGGAAACUGGUGCUAAUACUGGAUAUGUGCUCCUGCUGCAUGGUGGGGGUUGGAAAGCUCCGGCGGUUGUGGAUGGACUCGCGGCCUAUCAGCUUGUUGGUGGGGUAGUGGGCUACCAAGGCGGCGAGGGGUAGCCGGCCUGGGAGGGUGACCGGCCACAUUGGGACUGAGAUACGGCCCAGACUCCUACGGGAGGCAGCAGUGGGGAAUAUUGCACAAUGGGCGCAAGCCUGAUGCAGCAACGCCGCGUGCGGGAUAACGGCCUUCGGGUUGUAAACCGCUUUCAGCAGGGAAGAAGCUUUUUGUGACGGUACCUGCAGAAGAAGCACCGGCUAACUACGUG
RNAcentral lists this ribosomal RNA (465 nucleotides) under uncultured bacterium. RNAcentral describes it as "partial 16S ribosomal RNA". It matches the Rfam family "Bacterial small subunit ribosomal RNA", at positions 28 to 507 of the family's 1533-position model. The record is from RNAcentral.